UACGGAGGAUGCAAGCGUUAUCCGGAAUGAUUGGCGUAAAGCGUCCGCAGGUGGCUGUGUAAGUCUGCUGUUAAAGAGUGAGGCUCAACCUCAUAAAGCAGUGGAAACUACACGGCUAGAGUGCGUUCGGGGCAGAGGGAAGUUCCUGGUGUAGCGGUGAAUGCGUAGAUAUCAGGAAGAACACCGGUGGCGAAAGCGCUCUGCUAGGCCGCAACUGACACUGAGGACGAAGCUAGGGAGCGAACCGGG
RNAcentral lists this ribosomal RNA (249 nucleotides) under uncultured bacterium. RNAcentral's name for it is "partial 16S ribosomal RNA". It matches the Rfam family "Bacterial small subunit ribosomal RNA", at positions 524 to 777 of the family's 1533-position model. The record is from RNAcentral.